GAUGAACGCUGGCGGCAUGCCUUACACAUGCAAGUCGAACGGUAACAGGUCUUCGGAUGCUGACGAGUGGCGAACGGGUGAGUAAUACAUCGGAACGUGCCCGAUCGUGGGGGAUAACGAAGCGAAAGCUUUGCUAAUACCGCAUAAGAUCUACGGAUGAAAGCAGGGGACCGCAAGGCCUUGCGCGAACGGAGCGGCCGAUGGCAGAUUAGGUAGUUGGUGGGAUAAAAGCUUACCAAGCCGACGAUCUGUAGCUGGUCUGAGAGGACGACCAGCCACACGGGGACUGAGACACGGCCCAGACUCCUACGGGAGGCAGCAGUGGGGAAUUUUGGACAAUGGGCGAAAGCCUGAUCCAGCCAUGCCGCGUGCAGGAUGAAGGCCUUCGGGUUGUAAACUGCUUUUGUACGGAACGAAAAGACUCUUUCUAAUAAAGAGGGUCCAUGACGGUACCGUAAGAAUAAGCACCGGCUAACUACGUGCCAGCCGCCGCAGUAA
RNAcentral lists this ribosomal RNA (498 nucleotides) under uncultured bacterium. Its description in RNAcentral is "partial 16S ribosomal RNA". It matches the Rfam family "Bacterial small subunit ribosomal RNA", at positions 28 to 523 of the family's 1533-position model. The record is from RNAcentral.